Molecule: non-coding RNA, 45 nt
Filed under: Schistosoma margrebowiei
Lineage: Eukaryota; Metazoa; Platyhelminthes; Trematoda; Strigeidida; Schistosomatidae
Source: RNAcentral
AUCCAGCUGAAGAGUCCCAGAUAAAACGGAACGCGCGUCCUGAAU